CCUACGGGAGGCAGCAGUGAGGAAUAUUGGUCAAUGGACGCAAGUCUGAACCAGCCAUGCCGCGUGCAGGAAGACGGCUCUAUGAGUUGUAAACUGCUUUUGUACGAGGGUAAACGCAGAUACGCGUAUCUGUCUGAAAGUAUCGUACGAAUAAGGAUCGGCUAACUCCGUGCCAGCAGGCGCGGUAAUACGGAGGAUUCAAGCGUUAUCCGGAUUUAUUGGGUUUAAAGGGUGCGUAGGCGGUCGGAUAAGUUAGAGGUGAAAGCCCGAGGCUCAACUUCGGACUUGCCUUUGAUACUGUUCGGCUAGAGAGUAGUUGCGGUAGGCGGAAUGUAUGGUGUAGCGGUGAAAUGCUUAGAGAUCAUACAGAACACCGAUUGCGAAGGCAGCUUGCCAGGCUACUUCUGACGUUGAGGCACGAAAGCGUGGGGAGCAAACAGGAUUAGAUACCCGUGUAGUC
Molecule: ribosomal RNA, 460 nt
Filed under: uncultured bacterium
Lineage: Bacteria
Description: partial 16S ribosomal RNA
Rfam family: Bacterial small subunit ribosomal RNA
Source: RNAcentral